This 319-nucleotide long non-coding RNA is filed under the name Elaeis guineensis (African oil palm). RNAcentral's name for it is "long non-coding RNA (EGUI_LNC027684)". Lineage: Eukaryota; Viridiplantae; Streptophyta; Magnoliopsida; Arecales; Arecaceae. The record is from RNAcentral.
GCUAUCUUCUUCACUUCUAGGGACCUAUGACCUUAAAUCGGGUUAGUGCCGAAGGGAGAGAUUUAUUGGACUGAUCAUCAAAUCGGUCAUUUCUUUAUAUUAUAUAAUUUUAUUAAAAAUAUAAAAUUUAUUAAUGAUUUAAUAUUUUAAAUAGGACUAUCUGAUUCUUUUAAGAAAGAUUAAAAGAUCUCGGACGAUCGAGGUAAGUAGAUCUUAUGCUCCUUAUUUAUUUUUAAAUGAUCAUGUUUUUUAUGCAAAGAAUUGCUAUUGAUGAAAUCAUAAUUUUUCAUAAAAUGAGGAUCGGUAUAUGUGAUAUGAA